GGCGUGCUUACACAUGCAAGUCGAACGAUGAAAGCGGGAGCUUGCUCCUGCUGGAUUAGUGGCGAACGGGUGAGUAACACGUGAGCAAUCUGCCCCUGACUCUGGGAUAAGCGUUGGAAACGACGUCUAAUACCGGAUACGAGAUGAGACCGCAUGGUCAUCAUCUGGAAAGAACUUCGGUCAGGGAUGAGCUCGCGGCCUAUCAGCUUGUUGGUGAGGUAAUGGCUCACCAAGGCGACGACGGGUAGCCGGCCUGAGAGGGUGACCGGCCACACUGGGACUGAGACACGGCCCAGACUCCUACGGGAGGCAGCAGUGGGGAAUAUUGCACAAUGGGCGCAAGCCUGAUGCAGCAACGCCGCGUGAGGGAUGAAGGCCUUCGGGUUGUAAACCUCUUUUAGCAGGGAAGAAGCGAAAGU
This 419-nucleotide ribosomal RNA is filed under the name uncultured Microbacterium sp. RNAcentral describes it as "bacterial SSU rRNA". It matches the Rfam family "Bacterial small subunit ribosomal RNA", at positions 41 to 457 of the family's 1533-position model. Lineage: Bacteria; Bacillati; Actinomycetota; Actinomycetes; Micrococcales; Microbacteriaceae. The record is from RNAcentral.